AUGCAGUGCAAACUAGGGCACUUGGUCUGCUCGCCCUGCCGCGACAAGCUCCCGGGGAAGAAGAAGAAGGCCUGCAGCGUGUGCUCUAAGGCCGUCUCCAGACGAUGCCAUGCCAUGGAGCGCGUCGUCGAAUCCAUCGUCGUGCCGUGCUCCAACGCCGCGCACGGGUGCACCGCCAUGAUGGCCAGCGGCGAGAAGGCGGAGCGCGAGGAGGCUGUUGGGUGUCUAGCCCUAGCCCUCCCUCUCACCGGAACUCUCUCUCUCUCUAUACUCUCUCUAGAACGAUCAGAGAAAGAAGAAAGGAGAGAGACACAAGACACGAUGGUUCCGGCGCACGAACGCCUGCCGCACGAACGGCGUCUUCCUCGAGCACGAACUCGAGCCCCACACAAACAACAGUACGCGGGGUGGAGCUUUAUACACGGGCGCGCCCACACGACGCCGCGCUCCCCACUCCUCCACGCCCGCACGCUCCGCACGCCUUGGCUCACGCACCCGUCGCGCACCAACGCGAUCAACGCGGCCGGGCUCCAGCAGAACGCCGCGGUCACCCCCGCCACUAUCGCCAACUACCCACGCAACAGCGCGAGCCGACGCCCACUGCCGCUGCAGCAGCCCGCAGUCCCGUGCACCGUCGCGCCGCGUUUCCGUGCCCCCACGGUUGUCGCGCCGAGCCGCCGCGACUUCUGCGCCACCACACAGCUCCUCCGCGACCUCCUCGUCUCCGCGACUGCCGUGCUCUUCGCGUGCACGACAUCAGUCCGCACCGCCGUGGAGUCGCCGCGCGUCGCGGUCGCCACGCGCUCGCCGCGCGCUGCAACCUCCAUGCCCGACGCGCUCGCCGCGCGCGCCACCGCGCGCCACGGCCGCAAACCUGUAGCUCUGAUGCUAAGUGUUGGGUACCAAGGUCAGACUAUGCCUAAAUAUGGGCUCGACGCGGCCACGGACCGGACUGGCACGCCCGACACCGGUCACCUCGGCGGGGACAUGGCUUAUGCGCCAACAGAGGCGUGCCCUUACGCGCCAUGCUUCUGCCCGGAGCAAGGCUGCGGCUUCGCUGGCACGACGGAGGCGCUCCUGGACCACUUCGCCGCCGAGCACGAGUGGCCGGUCACGGCGUUCAAAUACUUCGAGCCGUUCGACGUGCCCGUGAAGGCCGGCAUGCACGUCCUCCACGGCAGCAAAGAAUACGAAGAAGACCAAGACGACGACAGCGACCUCUUCCUGCUCCACGUGGGGCCCCCGGACACCACGGUGAAAGUGGUCUCACUGGUCCGCGUCCAGGCGCACGCGCCGGAGUACGAGAUCGGGUGCAUCGCGAGCUUCUCCUGGUUCAGGGGCCAGACCCAGGUCGCGACGCUGGACACGAUCCUAACCUCGUCGCUCUCUAGCGGGUUGCCCGACUGCGGCUUCUGCAUCGUACCCGAGGCUCCACCCGGGGGCGACGAGCUUGUCUUCCUCAGUCUCACCAUCGGUGUGGAUGUCGAGACGAUGGAGGAUGACGACGACCAGGAGGAGGCGGAUGACGAGGAGGAGUACAGCGAAUGGAUGCGCAGGAUGGCCUGGGUAGAGGUACCUGCCAACGGUGAUGAUGAGGAUGAUGAGGCGGAUGGUCACAAUGGUGAUUGA
This 1629-nucleotide ribosomal RNA is filed under the name Triticum aestivum (bread wheat). RNAcentral's name for it is "partial small subunit ribosomal RNA". The record is from RNAcentral. Lineage: Eukaryota; Viridiplantae; Streptophyta; Magnoliopsida; Poales; Poaceae.